CCUACGGGUGGCAGCAGUAGGGAAUCUUCCACAAUGGGCGAAAGCCUGAUGGAGCAACGCCGCGUGGGGGAAGAAGGUCUUCGGAUCGUAAACCCCUGUUGAUAGAGAAGAACGUGCGUGAGAGUAACUGUUCACGUUUCGACGGUAUCUAACCAGAAAGCCACGGCUAACUACUUGCCAGCAGCCGCGGUCAUACGUAGGUGGCAAGCGUUAUCCGGAAUUAUUGGGCGUAAAGGGAACGCAGGCGGUCAGUUAAGUCUGAUGUGAAAGCCUUCGGCUUAACCGGAGUAGUGCAUUGGAAACUGGGAGACUUGAGUGAAGAAGAGGAGAGUGGAACUCCAUGUGUAGCGGUGAAAUGCGUAGAUAUAUGGAAGAACACCAGUGGCGAAAGCGGCUCUCUGGUCUGUAACUGACGCUGAGGUUCGAAAGCGUGGGUAGCAAACAGGAUUAGAUACCCGAGUAGUC
RNAcentral lists this ribosomal RNA (465 nucleotides) under uncultured bacterium. Its description in RNAcentral is "partial 16S ribosomal RNA". It matches the Rfam family "Bacterial small subunit ribosomal RNA", at positions 338 to 795 of the family's 1533-position model. The record is from RNAcentral.